CAGGCUUCUAGUGGAAGGGACACAUGGACGAAUCGAACAUACACCAGAAUAAGAGGGAUCUAGAGACUGUAUAGGUAUGGGACUAUACGGUUGAAGGAUAGCUUAAAGGAAUUAAUUUGGCUACUCAUAUCAACAAAUGCAUUUGCUUUUCGGUAGCCUAACCCAUAAGAACUCCAUGGUUAAGCGUGCUUAGCUUGGAGUAAUUUAGGGAUGGGUGACCUUCUGGGAAGUUUUCCCGAAAAGUGUGUGAGUGAGGACAAAGCACAUUGGAAAGUCUCGUGUUGAUGUGUGGGGGCAGUCAAUGUUCCCUGUAAGUCGUUGGGGCAUUACAAUCAUCACAACAACCAUAUGAUGACGAUGACUGGGGCAAGGCAACUGGCUGCAAAUUACAGUGUAGGACGAUGUGGCAUAAAACAUCAACCUUCUUCCUCCCAGAGUCUUGUGAAGUCGUGUCUACAGUGCCUUAACCGACCAUAACUCCAACCAACAAAGACCUUCUGAGCCAUAACCACACCAGUUUAGCC
Molecule: long non-coding RNA, 524 nt
Filed under: Vigna radiata
Lineage: Eukaryota; Viridiplantae; Streptophyta; Magnoliopsida; Fabales; Fabaceae
Description: long non-coding RNA (VRAD_LNC013455)
Source: RNAcentral